GCCAAAAGCAGCUCCAAGCCAUAUUGCUGCUAUCUACCUUUUUUUUCCCUUUUGGAGUUCCUGGGGAUUAAGUUCAGUGUUUUAUACACACUAGACUGGGUUCUACCGCUGCUCUGCGCUGCCCUGCCCCUCAGCCCUCCUUUUUAAAUGUUGGGGAUAAUCCUUACUGAGUUGUUCAGGAGAGUCUUGAACCACUCGGUAUCUAGGCUGACCUUAAACUUAAACUUAUGAUCCCCCCGGGUUAAUUUCCCCAGGACAUGGAUGACAGGCCAGAACCACUAGACCUAGUUCUUCUAUCUUUGAUUACCUUCAAACUUUUUUGAGGUUUGGUUUUGUUGCUGUUGUUGUUGUUGUCAUUUUUCUGUUUUUUUGUCUUUGAGAAUGUAUUGUUUUCUUAGACACUUCCCCUUCCCCAUGUCUGUCGGCUUUCCCUUCAUUCUGGAGAUAAGACUUACAUCCACCUACCUGUGUGCACACUACCAAUAGGGCCACCCCACCUAUCCAAGGAUGAGUGCUUGGAAGUCGUGAAAAAAUUGACUGCAGCUCCAUCUAAGAUAUGCCUGGAUAUAAGUGUGGUACGCACCAACCAGAAAGCAUGUCUGCGCACUAGGAAGCGCCUCGGUGGUUGUGGCAUGGUUCUGAGGACAUCCAGCCUUCUUAUUGGCAGAUGUACUAAGGAUGCAGACUUUAAUUGUAAACUUAAGCAUACACUGUUAGAUAAAGGGGUAAGAUCAAAAAGCUGCACUGGAAGAUGCAAAGAAAACAUCCCCAGCAAGCAGACAAGUGAAGAUGCUGGGCUUAUGUCCUGCACUUAGAUCACUCAAACCCUUGUUGUUAAAAUUAGUCAUAAAAUUGAUCCAUUUCCCAGGAACUCUACACAGGGGCUGGGCUGCCAGGUUCUGUUGUAGUUUUACAUGAAUCAAAAGCAUCACUGGGAAAGCCAAGUGAAGUGUUAUGAGCUCUGAGCCCAAACUUCCAUGUCUAAGACAUUCUGAAUGCUCUCAUUUGGUUUGUCUUGGAAGAGACAAAAAAAGUGGAAGAGAGGAAAAAAAAUUGAAAGAGCCAAGCCAACAGGAAAUUUGCAUAUUUUCAUGGCUGAGUAUAGAAUGAGCUGCUUAAACACAAAGCAAAUGUGUUUGCAGUGGUCUGACUACACUGUUGCUGUUCCUUUUUUUUUUUCUUUUUGGAGGUGCAGGGGAGACUGAGGAAUGCACAUGGCACCGUCUGAAGAGUCAGGGGAU
RNAcentral lists this long non-coding RNA (1241 nucleotides) under Mus musculus (house mouse). RNAcentral describes it as "long non-coding RNA chr7:136318954-136320195". The record is from RNAcentral. Lineage: Eukaryota; Metazoa; Chordata; Mammalia; Rodentia; Muridae.